RNAcentral lists this long non-coding RNA (957 nucleotides) under Malus domestica (apple). Its description in RNAcentral is "long non-coding RNA (MDOM_LNC013102)". Lineage: Eukaryota; Viridiplantae; Streptophyta; Magnoliopsida; Rosales; Rosaceae. The record is from RNAcentral.
UAUAAUUGUUAAGUUUUUGAAUGAAUGCUAAGUUACAACAAGGCCAGUGGGAGUGGUGUCAUAAUUUGAGCAACAAGAUAUGAAUAAAGUCUAUUUGAUAGACUUGAUAGAACAUAGAUGUUACUCGAAAAUUGACAAAACAUGACACGGUCAAUUUUAAAGUAUAAACUUGAAAUUGGACUUAUUGAUAUAGCAAGGCUAUCUCAAGAAUGUUAUUUGGGGAGAUUAAAUCUCAAAUGUUGAAGAUUCAAGAAAGCAUUUUCCUAUAUGAUAGAAAAACCACUUUCGUAACCCUUAAAAUGAAUGUGUCACAAUCACAAAAGGGACACAUGUAUGGACUUGUGAGUAGAUAUCCAAAAGUGAAGAACCAUAUGGGUUGUCACUUUAAGAUAUUACUAUAUCCCAGGAUCAGAACCAAAGCAACUGAUAAAGUAUUAUUGCCUUUAAGAAAGGAACAUCAGAGUAGGACUCUGGAAGCGUGCAUUCACUUAGGUUAUUAACCAAAGUGAAAAUAACCCAUUUUAACAAAUGGAACUUCAUAAUGGAUGAAGUACUAAUCAUAUGAAUGUAUUGUAAGUAUUAUACUACAAUGGUCCUAAGGUUGGAGCAAAGUUUGUAUAAAGUAUACAAACGAAAUAUAUGACGAUAUAUUGUUUUAGAAACUGCUUCACUAGGUGUUUUGAAUGGAAGGGGUUCUUUUAGAACCAAUGAUUGAAUCCAAACCAUAAGGUCGUUAGUAGGACACUACGACGUAAUGGGGUGAUAGCUCAAACCAUGGAAUCAAGGUCUCAUCAAAGUAUUCGAACACAAGAAAGAGACAUCAUCAAAUGUUUUGGAAACAUUUGAUAAGUGAAUCCCUUUUAAAUAAAAAGGAUUAAUGCAUAACCAAGUUAACCUAUGAGCAUAAGCUCUCUCAACUAGCAUGUAUAAGAUACACUAGUGAUUGACUUUAGUGCA